This 42300-nucleotide long non-coding RNA is filed under the name Ananas comosus (pineapple). RNAcentral's name for it is "long non-coding RNA (ACOM_LNC033753)". Lineage: Eukaryota; Viridiplantae; Streptophyta; Magnoliopsida; Poales; Bromeliaceae. The record is from RNAcentral.
AUUAGGACUGGUGAGAGUUUUGGAAGAAAAAUGUAUUAAGGAAUAAGGAUUCUACAAGCAAUAAUUAGAUACUAGUAUAGUAGCCCGUACGAUGCGACGGAUAGAGAAUUGGAGAAAAAAUAAAAGACGAUGACAAAGGAGAGAAAACAGUAAUAAAAGAAAUGAUGAUAAAAGGUGAGAUUCAUCUUGCCGAUGAAAGAGAUUGAAGAAAGAUGAAGAAGAACAGUUCGGCUCAAUAUAGAGGUGUGGCUCAGUUCGGUUCAAGCCAAAAAAAAAAAGGUUGAUCUGGUUCGAUUCAAGUAAAGAAAGAGAGAAAUCAAGUUCAUUUCACGCAAAGAAAGAGAAAAAUAUGUAGAAAACUUGAGCCGGUUCGAGAGAGCCCAUACUUAACAAUAAUCAAGUCGGUUUAAGCAAAGAAAGAGAAAAAUUCGAUCUGAUUCAAGCAAAAAAAGAAGAAAACAUGUGGAGAAUCUGAGCCCAUUCUAAUUAAAGCCCACACUAUUGCCAUGUGGCAAAUUUAAGAAAAAUAAUGUAUAGGUAUAGGUAUAGGUAUAGAGGUACAGAUAUAAAUCAGUAUUUUGGAUGGGUGAUUCGGUCCAACAAGUUAUUAAAUUCUAGUAGGCUGGAUCAUUAUAAUGCUAAUCCCUUCGGAACGCAUUUUCAAUUCCAAUUCCAAUUGCGAACCAAGCAUUCAGGGGAUCAGGAGAAUCCUUUUAUCUUCACAUAAUAAUAGAGUAUUAAUGGUGGGUGGUUGAGGGAGAGAGGUUGGUGGGUUGGUGUGCUUUAACAAUCAAGGAUAUAUUUUCUACCUGCAGUGAGUUAGAUAUUGACAUUUAAACCUGCGAUCUGCAUUGAGUUUGAAAUUUAGCUUAGGACGUGUUUGGUUCCCGAAAAUUUUAAAAAAUAUUUUUUCUAGAAAAAUUCUUUCUUUUUUAAGACUUCAUAGAAGAGUCUUCUUUUUGUUUUCGGAAUUUUUUUUUUUUACCAAGAAACUGAAUACUAUGGAAAGAUUCUUUUUUUAGAGAUUGAUACUCAAAUCCUUGGGGGAUUAAAUUAGCGAUUUGGAUCUCGUCCAAUUUGGAGCUAAUCUCUAUACAUAUUUUAUUUUCGGUGAUACUAAUGCGUCACAAAACGUAAUUCUUGCAUCUCCACUUAAAGAGUAAGGCAAUCCUACCUCAAGUAAAGAAUCUCCACGUAAUAGAAACCGAAACAAACAUUCGCCAUCCUAGUUCAGUGAUUGUUAUCAAAUUGUUUUUUUUUUUUUUUUUUUUUUGAGAGAUAGAUAGCACGCUACCUGCUUCGUUUAUUUCAUUUAGAAAUAAACUUAGCUGGAAAUGUGAAUCAACUAGGAUUCGAACUUAGAUCUCGGGUACCAACCAUCAAGCUCUUUGCCACUUGCUCUAGGGACGAUCGGUUAUUGUUAUCGAAUUGUUAUUCUAAAGAUCGCAUUCCUACUUGUACUUUUACUUAAAGAGAUUUGUACCUCCAACUUUUUGAGUAUUAGAAUAGUAUAUGUAGAAAGGAUAGGAUAGGAGUCUAGGAGCAAACUUGAAUACUAUAUGAAUGAAGCUGAUAGCUACGUUUUUCUCAAAAAAAAAAAAAAAAAAGAAUCUUUCAAGUGUAGAAAUAGAAAGGUUAAAUCAUAUAUCUUGUUUCUAAAAGUAAUAUUCUACAAUAAUAAUAAAAGCUUUGCUAAGUUUCUCAAUGCUUUUUUUAAAAAAAUAAGCUUUAUUCCGAAAAGUUUAACUAUUCAUUUUAUUAAAUUAUAAGUUUUAAUUCAUGUCUUUUGUAUAUAUUUGGAGGCCAUUUUCACCAAUAAAAUCAACGUCCGGUGAUUGAAUGAGCCAAUUUGACGUAUUUAUAGAAGUUUAGAUAGCAUUAAUUUAUUUUAAAAGUGAACUUUGAUAAAAGUUUACGAACUACCGAUGCGAUUAAUCCUUUCGAAAAUAGAGAGGUAAGUUUUAGGAGACGACAAAAUAAUACUCAGAGCCUAAGAUUCCGAUAGCGAGCUCAGGUUGAUGCUACAAUGCCAUAAUUUAUCUCUUUAAGAAGAUUAGGUUGGAAUUUACUAGAGAGUGAGGGGGAGCGCGAAAGCAAUGUCAUAGUAAAAAUUUUAUAAUUUAGUUUAGCUUGAUAAUGGACAAGGCUCAAGAGAAUAAUAAUAAACAUAAGGGCAUGAUUGGAAGCAUGGUACGAAUAAAAUAAAAUAAUGUACGGUUAAGUUUAAAGUAACCCAAAGUGCUCCGUGAUUCGUUCAUGUAACGCACAUUUCCUAUUUUGAUGGGCCCCACAAAUCUAAUUAUAGAUCAGGAUAAAUGAUACGUUUGGUCAUCAAACUAUGGUGUAUUGGUGUUCACGGUUUAGUUCUCAAAAUUUAAUUUACUUUAAUUUUAAAUUUAAAUUUUUAGAAUUAUUUCAAUUAAAGUUCUCAAAUCUAAUUUAUUAACUAAAUAUUAAUAUACUGCUAAUAUAGAAGUGAUAUAACAGUAUUGCAAUUGAUAAGACCCUAAUAAUUAAGUUAUCGUAUCACGCCAAUAUUUAGUCAAUUAAAAUAGUUUAUAAAAUUUAGUUACAAUAAUUUUCAAAGUUUAUAAAUUAUAACAAACUGAAGUUUAAGAAUUAAAGUGUCAUCGACUCAUAGUUCGAGAACUAAGCGAGCAAUUUACUCUAGAUAUAAGAGGUACUUUCAUCAUUUUGUGAUUAUUCUUGGUUUUUAUAGUAGCAUUAAUAAAUAUUUUUUAAUUUUAAAGGAGUAUUAAUAGAAUGGUUAAAUUAUAGAAACUUUCUAUUAAUAUCCUUUUUUUUUUACUUCUUUUUCUGUCAUUCAAAAAUUUAUAUUUUAUUCCCUAAAAAAAUAAAAAAUAUUUACAGAGAGGUACGCCGUAACAAAAUGACUAAAUUACCCCUCAUGUUCUUUGGAAUGGGCGAAGGAGGAGGGUUUUAGAGGUAUUUUGGAUAUAAAAAAUAGUAUAUAAACGAAAUCCUAACGAAACACUGACGACAGAGUCAAAGUUAAUACUUUUUUAUUUUUUAAAAGAACAAGAUGUAUGUUUUUGAAUGAUACGUGAAAAAGUUAAAAGUGGGUAUUGAUAGAAAGAAUUAUUUGAAACGAUGAAAUUAUCUUUACAGUAAGAAAUAUAUUUUUAGUUUAAACAUAAUUAAAAAAUAUACUUAUAUAAUUUUCUCAAAUUAUUUUUUUAAUUAUUAUAUGUAAGAUAAAAUUGCGACAAAUUUGAAUGGAGUUAUUUGUACCUACUGAGCAUCAAAUUUAGAUCGCCAUACCGUGAGCUACAAUUAUUUGCUUUGACCCCACCACCGUCACCACGUGGCAGCAGACGAUUCGUACCGUAAUUACCAAGCAAAGAAAAAGCCCCAUUGGCUUUUACCCCGACACGUCACUUCAGUUGCGGGCCCCACGCGAUGUUACCGUUUACCUUGCGGGUACCGCUCCGUUACUCGCCACGUCAUUUGCGCGCGAGCGUCCGCGCCGACCGACCCAAGCCACCUCGUCGUCGUCGUAUUACCGUAAACGCUUUUUGACUCAAUAAUGUGCGCAACCACCCGAGUCCGACGAUUCCAUCCUCGGCCUAAACACCAAACACCGGAUCUUUCUCCACAGUCACGCCACGUGUCCCCCCCGUUUCCACCGAGGUCCACUCCGAUGAUUGCUGUGCGAUGCAACUGUACAGUUGAUGCGAACGGAUGUUGCCUGGACCCGGUGUAUCGGCACUUUCCAUGCACCACACCUCUAAUUAUUUUUGUAGUAGAAAUUUUUUUAAAAAUUAAUUUACUGAGACCUUUCAAUUAAGAGUUCUAUAUAUAUAUAUAUAUAUAUAUAUAUAUAUGAAAUCGUACACUUUGGAUUGCCUAUAAUAGAUCGUUGAUGUGUUAGUAUAAUUAUAAAAUAUUUUAUUUUAUUUGAUGAGUAGUUUUUUAAAAAUUUAUUGGUGUUUAGAUAUAAUUAUGAUCAAUUUAAUGAAAUAUACUUAUCAAAUUAAAGUUAAAUUUUUAAAUAUUGAUUAAUUAAUUAAUUAAUCAACAAAUAGCAAAUACAAACACGUGGUAGAUGUGGUACACGUAGUCCAGGGGCAGGCCACAAUUUUCUCGCUCCCCUUGUGUCGGUUGCUAUUUUAAUAACUGUGGUGAGGGCAUUUUCGUAAUUUCGCGACCUAUGAACAGCACAAAAAUGUAGAGAGAGAGAGAGAGAAAGAUCUGUCCCGCCUCACAUUCCCCGGAGCUCGCUCUCUCUCUCUCUCUCUCUCUCUCUCUCCCCCCUCCGUCUCUCGCAGAUCCGGAGGAGGAGGACGAGGCAAAACCCUAUUCCCUCCGAUCUUCGAUCCCAAUCACCUCAAACCCUACAAACCCUAGGCUUCGAUCUCGAACGGAUUCGGUAUCGACAUCCCCGGGCAUCGCCAUUGACGUCACCCCCGAGCUCCGCUCCCUCCGACCCUCUCCUUCCCCCCAAUGCCGUCGUAAUCUCCGCCCCCGGACCCCCUAGGUAUCUUCUAUCUCCUCGUAUACGGUCGAUUUGAGGUGCCCGCUGAGAUUUUCGUGGGGUUUUGGGGGGGAUCUGUGCUGUAGAACUCGCGUUCUAGGGUUUUCUAUUGGUAAUGCGGCGGGUGUAGCUCGUGGAUCUGAGAAUGGGAGUUGCGAAGUACACCAAGGGGUGUUGCGGGUGGUUGAUAGUGCUUAUUGUCGCCGCGCUUGUGGUCACUGCAGCGGUCGUAGCCAUUAAGAAGAGGAAGCCCCACCAUGCCGAGGUCCUUCCGGUCCCCGGCCCACCGGGGGCCAUUAAUCAGAAGUACGCCGAUGCCCUCGGCAUAGCUCUGCAGUUCUUUCAAGUGCAAAAAUGUACCUUCCCUGCUUAUCACUGUUCCAUUUCCUCUCUAAUUGCAAUGAUUAAUUCCAAAAGAUGGGUCUUUUUAGCUCUUUCAGUAUGUUCCUCAUUUUUUCUUUUUUUAAUCUGUUAAUGGCACUCGCAUAAAUGUCCCUGCAAAAUUUGAAAAUUAGAUAUUUGUGUCUCUUUAAAAUUGAUAUUUGGUGUCAUUUUACUGUUUAAUUUUUUUUGUAUUUAGUAGGAAAGCAGAUAUUAUGUUAUAGGAAUUGGAUGGGACGGCAUGGGUGUCGGAACAGCGGAAAAAGUUUAAAUGAAAAACUAUCAAAUUAACAUUCAACGAAUGGUAGUUAAUUGGGAGCUCUAGAUGAAUUACUUAUUGAGUUUUAGCCUAAGAAAUUAAAUAUUACCAGAUCCACUUUCGAAGUUUAAUAUGCAAGUGACUCUUGUUAAGGGGUUUACUAGUUCCCAUUAUUAUUUAUUUAUUUAUUUUCAUUCUAUGCAGCGGGGAAGUUGGUUAAUAACAAGAUUUCGUGGAGAGGGGAUUCUGCCCUGGAUGACGGGAGGGAAGCAGGAUUGGACCUGUCAAAGGGGAUGUAUGAUGCAGGGGAUCACAUGAAAUUUGGUUUUCCUAUGGCUUACACUGCAACAGUGUUAUCAUGGUCUAUUCUUGAAUACGGGGAUCAGAUGAGUGCCGUGAAGCAGCUAAAUCCUGCUCUGGACGCUCUUAAGUGGAUCACGGAUUAUCUGAUCAAUGCCCAUCCUUCUGAUAAUGUUCUGUAUAUUCAGGUAGUUUUUGUGGGAAUUUUUCUUUUUUUCUUUUUUUAAGGUUCAUAAGACAAAGGUGGGCUCUAUGUUAAAAUUAAGAUCUUUCAAGUUUUCUUCUUUAGUUGAGCCAGAUUCCACUAUUUGUUUUUUUCAUUGAACCCUAUUUGCCAUAAUUAUGUGCUUUUCUUCAUCCUUUGUCAGGUUAUGCGAUGUGUUUUUCUAAUUAGUUUGACAUUAUACUGCAUUGUCAUCACUCUAGUACCAGAUUUAUCCAUCUUCUUGUGGCAUAGGAAAUAACGCUUUUAGAGUUUAUCCAGAGACCAGAUUUAGAGGGCAUUUAUUCCUCUUUAGGUAGAUCAACCUAACUGGAAGUAAAUGUUCACUACAUACUAUUUAUGAAAAAUCUACUAUCUUAAUGACUCUUGUUAUUAUUUGUCCUUGCCAUUUGUUCCUUAAUGAUAAGAAUGUAAUGGAAGUUCAUUUUUAAAUUGCUAUUUGUCCCUUCUCUUUUGAAGUUAAUUAUACAUUGUCUUGUUUUUAUCUAUAUCAUGACAAAUGAACAAGCAGCUAGCAGUCCCUCUGAGAUGUAGGCAAGUAAAUAGAUUCUCUGUUGCUUGCCUUCAUAUCUAAUUGUAGAUUCGCUGUUACAUUUAUUUCUUUAUAUCUAAAAUGUAUGAUUGGAAGCAUGUGGAUCUUAUAAAACACUACAGUUUCAAGGAAAAAAGUCUGUAGUAACCAUUACCCCGUUUAUAUAUAUAUAUAUAUAUAUAUAUAUAUAUAUAUAUAUAUAUAUAUAUACAGAUCAGAGCUGUUAUGCUCUCAGGAGCACGGAGGCCUUCGUGCUCUUGAGCCGUUUUCGAUGAUAAAAUUUUCGAAUCAACGAUCGGCUCCGUUAGACUUGAUCUAGCGUAUUUGAAGUUUCUAGAAAAUAAUUUUUGCAAUUUUUUGAUAUCAUUUACCUAGUGAUCGAAAGAUUCAAAAUCAAUAAUUUUUAAUGGUUGAUAUCUGCCGUUUUCAAGUUUAACGGUAUAGAAGUAUUCAAAUCAGAUGAAAUUUUGAUACAAAAUUCUUUAUACUAUCUACAACAAGAUCAAUAUUUCUGAUCGAAAAUUUUAGUGCUAUGUGACCACUUUUUAUAGGAUUUUUAUUUUCAGCCGUUAAAAAUUAUUGAUUUUGAAUCCUUUCGAUUGCUAGGUAAAUGAUAUUGAAAAAUCGCAAAAAUUAUUUUCUAGAAACUUCAAAUACGCUAGAUCAAGUCUAACGGAGCGGAUCGUCGAUUCGAAAAUUCCAUCAUCGAAAACGGCUCAGCUCCUGAGAGCAUGGCAGUCCUGCUAUAUAUAUAUAUAUAUAUUAAUAACCUCUCUGAAAAGUUAUGAUCUGAUUGGUAGGUGGGUGAUCCUGAGAUAGACCAUAAAUGUUGGGAAAGGCCGGAAACAAUGGCAGAGAAAAGGCCGCUAACAAAGAUCGACCAGAAAACUCACGGGACAGAGGUGGCUGCGGAGACAGCAGCGGCUCUGGCCGCAGCUUCCUUGGUUUUCAAAUCCAUUAAUACCACCUAUUCCGAUUUGCUUCUUCACCAUGCCCAGCAGUUAUUCACUUUUGCUGACACUUACAGAGGUUCCUAUAGUGUUAGUUAUCCUCAGCUUCAGAACUACUACAAUUCCACAGGUUAUGUAGAUGAGCUCUUGUGGGCAGCUAGCUGGCUCUAUCAUGCUACUGGUGAUCAAACAUAUCUCAGCUAUGUAACUGUGGAAAAUGGAAAAGCUUUUGCCGACUGGGGAAGACCGACUUGGUUUAGUUGGGAUGACAAACGUGCAGGAACCCAGGUACAUAUCUAGAUCAUGAAGUGAAAAGUUUGCCCUCUCAGUUAGCUUCUCUUCUUCAUAAAAUGAUAUGCCAUGUUAUUAUGAUUGUGUACACUAAAGUAUGAAUUUUUGGUUCAUAUCAAAACAAUAAUGUGAUUUCAACACGUCAACUCAAGGUACCCAUAUCCUUAAAUCAUUGUAGCUAACAAGAGCAAGUCUGCGGAAAAGCUGGGAACUUAAAUGACCUGCCUUCUAAGGAAUUACUUUGAAUAAAUGUUACGGUGAAAGUAAAUUAGUUAUGCCUCACUGGAGCCGAUUCAAACUUUUUUGCAGGUUCUUUUGUCCAGGAUAAACAUUUUUGGUUCUAAACAAUCCUCGAAUGCAGAGAAUGUGGGCCUCCAAAUGUAUAGAAAAACAGCUGAAGCCGUCAUGUGUGGUCUUUUGCCAGAUUCCCCAACAGCAACCUCUAGUAGAACAGAAAGUACACCUAAAUACCUUUCUCAGUUGAUUUAGUAUUAUGAUUUUCUCAGUUGAUUUAGUAUUAUCAUUAUUAUUAAGAGUAUCUUGCCUGUUUGUUCAUAGGUUCGCUAGUUUUCUUGACAGUGCUCCAUGAAAUCAGCGAUUUCUUGUUCUAAUUCGAAGUGCAUUCUCAUACAUUCUUAAUGACUUGGUUAUCAUGUUCUAUCUCAUAUGCACCAUUGAUAGUCUAGUUUUGUUUUUCAGUGUCAUGUAGCUGAAUGUUUUGACUUCGUUGGUUGGACAGUUUGUUCCCUGCACUGGGGUGUGAAUAUGACCAGAUUUUUUAGCGUAACUUCCUCGAAUCUAGCCACAAGAAAUUAAGCCAUUUAUUUUGGCACUUCUAUAGUUAAUUUUUAUGGAGAAAUUGUAAAAGAACAUCCCAUUUAGAAUCAAAGCAGUAUGGAUAAACUGGACAAACUUGGCAUGUUGUGUCAUCUUUUAAAUAUUCAUUUCGUCAAAAGGAGAUUUUGUAGAAUGUCUGACUGCUUCAUGGUUGGAAAAUCAUGACAUUAAGAUGCAACAUAUGGACACUGUGUGAUCCAGAGGUAAUUGAUCCAUUUUUUUUCUUCCAUGCGUCUUCCUUCAUUAAGAUUCAGAGAACAUAACCAAGAUUUAUGGAAGACUCAUGCAAUCCCAGCCUUAUUGCUCUUGUUUACCAUUAGCUUUUACUGCUUUUGAUCAACCAGUUUUUAACUCCAGUUCAUCCUUGAUUUUGUUUGUUCCAUGCCAUAGAAUAUAUCUGAAUAAUUUUAGUUGAAUAAUAUUGAUCAGUGGUAUUAUUUUUCUAAUGCUUUUUAAUUUCACUCUUCCUAUCUAGAUUUAGGCAUACAUGCGACUAUAUUCUGAAUUACAGAGGACUAUUUUGAACUGUAAAUUGUAAAGUUAUUAUGAGCUUUCGGUAUUUAAUGGGUUUUGCCUUAUUUUUAUCGUCUUAACCCAGGUGGGUUGUUAUGGAUAGACGAGUGGAAUGCUCUUCAGCACCCUGUUGCUGCUUCUUUCCUCGCUGUUGUUUACAGCGACUAUAUGCUCACAUCGCAGACUCCAGAAGUGCACUGCAAUGGGGACUCCUACACACCCAUUGAUCUGCGGAAAUUCGCAAUGUCACAGGUAACAUCCUUGGAGGGCUUCAACUCCUGUUUGUACUACUUUUACUAACUUUGCUUGCUAUGGCCAUGUCCUGAAAUGAUUCUGAGAAAAAGCUUUCCUUAGGCCUGCUUGGCUAGGCUGGAGAUUUUGCAUUAGUGCUGAGUGAGUGUGUUGGGAAAAGUGGUAUGUCUUUCCUUACAAAACACCCACAAUAACCUUGUGCAACAGCCAAGGACGUCAUCUAGCUUAGUGCUUCGCCCUGAAGCUUUAAGCAUCUUGCCUGAUAAACAUCUCGCUUUUGCAUAUCGAGUAGAGAAGCUAUUGCUAAGGUCAGAUCAAAUAGGCACUUGAGGCCUAUAUGGUUUCAUCAAAACCUCCUGUAUUUCUUCUUCCUAGAAUUGAAGCAUAAGCUUCUAAUCGAAGCUCCUACUUGUGGGGUCCAAAAUCCCAUUUCAGCUUCUCAUAACAGCAAAAGCUCCAGAUUAUUAGCCAAGCACGUGAUUUUUAGAAGCUUCUGCUUUCUCGGUGGACAAGCUGUUCCGGAAGCCAAGAACAGUAUCUCAGCUCAUCAUUUUAAGGAUGGAAAAAAAAAGAGAAUAAGAUAAAGUAAUUGACCAAAAAAAAAAAAAACAAAUAAGCUGAGUGCUCUUUCCUCUUUUUUCUUUCCCUCCAAUUUUUUCAAAAAAACCAGGCCGACUACAUCUUGGGCGACAACCCGAUGAAGCUCAGCUACCUCGUAGGCUAUGGUAGUAGCUACCCGCAGCAGGUGCACCACAGAGGAGCCUCAAUCCCCACAGAAGCAAACACAGGCUGCAAGGGCUUCCAGUGGCUUACAUCAACUGAACCGAACCCAAAUGUAGCCACUGGAGCGCUCGUCGGAGGUCCAUUCAAGAACGACUCCUACAUCGACCUGAGGAACAACUCGAUGCAGGCCGAGCCGAGCACAUACAACAGCGCGGUUCUCGUCGGCUUGCUCUCCGGCCUCGUCACCACUUCCUCUGUCGCACAGUCUUUCACGUAAAUACUCUCUUCGUGCUCUUUGAUGGUUUCUGUUGGCAUAUGAAUGAUGUACAUGAGCAAGCAUCGUUGUUUGCGGUCGAGUGAAAGUAUGCUGUAUUGUGGCUAUGCCGGGGGUCUAUGAGAAGCCAUUUUUUGUUGUUGUACUUGUUUACUAUAUCAUGGGAAGCUUUCUUGUACUUGAGUGUGUGCAAUAUCCAUCGAAAGCAAUUAGAGGUGUAUGUGUAAUUGAGAGAGAGACCUACUAUGUUUUUUAGUACAUAUGAUUUAUGGAAUGUGAGAUGCAAAUAUGCAGUAAUGAGUAAUGAAUGAUACUCGACUACAUUCUCAUAGUUGAACAAAUUUGAGUUAAACAAACAUUUACAUUGUGAUUAUAAUGUCGCCGGACAAACAAUGCAAAGUAUGCAUUGUUAUUGUCAUUGAAAGGCAAACAGUUUAUAGUUUUAGGCUAAUCUCACGUAGUUGUCAUUUAACACUCUACUCUGCAUUCGAUCUAUUUGAAAGGAGCAUUAUGGAUGGAUACAUUUUAUAAUUCAAGAACAUUAUUAAUCAUCUAUUCAAUUUAUCCACUGCCUGAGCACAUUCAUGAGGGGCAAUUAACCAACCUGUCUCAGUGGUUGCAUCUUUAUUCUUAUUUUCCUUCUUUGUUCCAGCAUCUUAGGAAACAUUUUUUUUGGGUGCUCCCAUGAAUUAAAGCAACCUUUUUGAUCAAGCAAGCAAUGCCUGGCAGCAGAGCAUGUGGCUAUGAACCUGUCAAGAAAUUCCUUCAAGCAGAGAAAGAAAAAGGAGUUGAUUGCUUUUUGUAAGUUUACCAUCCAUCCCCAAAGUAAGGAUUUCACCCAUGAUUACAAACUUUCUUUCUCUUCAGGUAAAGCAUCCUCUAAAGAACAUCAUGAGACUCAAUACCAACAGCUAUGAAACUUUUUCUGUUCAUCUUCAUCACAAACAAUAAUAAUUCCUGACAUUUUUUGGUGCAUUAAUUCCCAAGGAAUGCAGGGAAGAAGACAUUCAUGACACAUCACACAGCCAAUAAUGCAGUGGACCCUUUGUCUUCAAUAAAUAUCAUUUUUAUCUCAAUGCUGCACAGAUCCAACAGCUUCUUAUGGCGGAAUGAGAGAGCGCGGAAUGAGAGAGCUAUGCUCGAGGAGACGAAGGGUUCAGUGACUCAGAGAUAUUUAGAGCCGUGAUAGUAAGAGGUGGGACUUGAUGGUAUACGUUGUGAUUCUCCAAAUCGAAAUCCACUAAGUUCGUAAUUGUCGGGUAGGUAGGAUUCAAUAAUCCCACUCUACUGAAAUUAUUAUCUGGCUCACUUGUGCGCAAAAGCACCAUAUUAGACAUUAUUUUCAAUUUGACAUUCCGACAAGCUGUAGCUCAUCCAUCCAAAAAGCCACAUGACAAGCCAUCCAAUUGAAACACUUCGAAUUUUUCAAAAUAUUAUUUUUAUAAAUUAUGAUCAUGUUGGCAAAUACGUAUUAUAUUUUGAACUGCAUGCAUGAAUAAAUCAAAAUGUAUGAUAUCAUUAAGUGCUGACACAUUAAAUAAUAUAUAAAAACAACAUAAUAAGGAAUCUGCAAUAGUACUCUGAAUUCAUAGAUGUAGUUUUUUUUUUUCCAUACAAUCCUGUGAUGUGUUGAAUCUAAAGUCACCCACUUUAGAGACAAUGUGCCAAAGAUACAGCAGAGAAUUUGGUCCUCUAAUAGUUUUAUGGUACCACCACCACCACCACUGCACCUUUUACAACCCCAUGACCCUAUGCAUUUUUUGUAAUCAAUGUGUGGAGCCCCUCUCCACAUGGCUAUCUUGUGGCUGUAUUAAUUUUGAAGGACCCUUCUCUUUUACCAAAUAUGUGGAAAUAGAAAACUUUAACUAUUUUCACAUAUGUGGAAGCACCAUUAUUACCUUUCACCUUAAACAGUAACAUGUCUCUUACCAGUUUCUACCAUAGAAUUUCCAAAAGAGAGUUUAACUUUUUGAACAUCCAUGCAUAAGAUCCCUCUCUUUUACUUCUCAUUUAUAUCUUUUCUAUUUUGGGUAACUUUUUUUUUUUUUUGCCAACAAACAAGUUAUGAUAAUAGAAGAGGGACGAGAAGGGGUAAUAGACUGCUUAGAACCGACUCUGAUAUCAUACUAUCCAAAAGAUCAAUAUGACAAUCGAUAUUAGAUAAAUAACUCGGCAAACCUCCUAUUUUACAAUCAUUGUGAGAUACAUAGUGUUUCAAAUAUCUCACGCGCAAUGUAUCCCUAAAGAUAACGAUUCUAUAAUUAGCCAAAAAGCAUCUAGUACUCGAUAGAUGAUGAGUGUGAUUAAAUAUUUAGAAUGAAUUUUAUUUUCGAUCUUUAAAUUAUUUUCUCAACAUAAAAUAAGUCACUUUGCAGAUGAGAUAUAUUAUCUUAACUUCGAAGUACACAAAAAAAUAUUUUGUUCAGAAUAAGUUAUUAUUGGAUUUCUAAUUUCAAAACACAUAAAAUGAAUGUCUAGACUUUUCAAAAACAUCGUACAGAAGAAGUUAUUAUAUGCUAUCCUAUCAAAUCAUAGAUGCCAACAUUUUUCGAGGAGCAAAAAGCGAACUCCUAACUUUGAAUUAUAUAAAAAAUAUUUAUACAAAAUGACUUACAAUCUAAAUUCUAAAAAAGAAUAGGGCAAAAAAAUUUUUAGAAUAAAAGAAACAAAUCCUUUAUCUUAAUUAUUCGCACAUUGAUCUUUUUUUUUAUUUCACAUUCUAUCUCUCCGUUUUGUUACCAUCACUUAUUUUCCUCUUCAUUCUCCCCUCAAAAAAACAAAAAAAAAACCAAAAAAUUUUAGUUGGCAAUUCAGAUAAUAAUUACUACACUAGUUUAAUAUUUGUUAGUUUUCGCGUAUUUCUUGUUCAUUAACAAAUGAAAUUAUUUAACCCUAUUUAUGAAAAAUUUUAAGUCAAAACAAAACAUUUCCCCCAUUUUGAUCCAUGUUUCCACUUCCACUCCAACUAUACAUUCACUCUUUUAAAAAAAAAAAAAAAAAACCUGCAAAACCAGCGGUUGAGAUUAUACAAAUAUGGACACGUGUCAUGCAUCAAGAUCCCCAUCCAAUGGUUAUUAAUUAAUUGAUUAAAAUGCGUGAAGACCCCUGACCUAUACUCCUAUCUACAAAUGCCUCCAACGCUUAAAAUUUUUAAGAUAAAAACUUACAAAACUUAUCUAAACUAUGAAUCAUUUUGAAUUAGCUAUCCAAACUUUCAAAAUUUUGAUUUUACUAUCUUCAAUUUAUUUGAUUUGAAUCGGUCAGUGAUACUUUGACUUCAAAAUUUAAACUAAUUUCUUAUUUUGAUGAGUUUAUAGUUGCGAAUACUAUAUGAAAUAUGAUAACUAAAUCUAUAAAGAUAAGUGACGCAUUCAAAUUUUGAAGUCAAAGUGCCAGUUACUAACUCAAAUCAAGCAAAUUGAAAAUAUUGGAGAGUAAAAUCAGAAUUUUGAAAGAUUUGAUAGGUAAUUCGAAAUAGUCCAUAGUUUGAGUAAAUUCUAUAUAUUUUUACCAUUUUUUAAAUUGACACACUCUUAACUUUUGUUUUUUACAAUUAAGUAAUUUUUGUUAACUAAAUUAGAGAUUUUAUCAAAUUUAAUAAUUUUGAUAACUUUUUUUAGCAAAAUAAAAUAAAAUAAAAGCAAAUAACAAUUAAUAAAUAAAAGAACCAUAAAUUUAAUAAAAUUAUCUGACUUAACUAACCGGGAAGAAAAAAAAUCUAAUAAAAGGAAUUUAAAGUUGGGGGAUGUCACUAAAAAAAAAAAAGUUGAGGGGGCUAUUUCAAGUAGUUUUAUAGUUGAGAGGGUCUCCAUACAUUUUUACCUAUUAAAUAAAUAAAUAAUUAAUUAAUUAACUUUCCCCGCAUAGGAAUUUUUGUGCGGAUAACGCUUGCAACAAAUUACCGUUUCGCAUAUCGAAUCUUGGAUUAUCCGUCUAACGGGCGCAUCCAAAGAAAAUUAUUUUAAUUUUUAUGGGGCAAAAAUGUGGAAAGAGCUCCCUGACAUUUAGCAUAUUUGCAACUCACUACUAAAUUUUUAAUUUUGAUAAUUACACUCUUUUUAAUCGAAGUUAGUAAAUACUCAGUAUUUUGGUCACAUGUAUUUCAUAUAUAAUCUUGUAAAACUUAAAAUUGCAAAAUAUUUUUUUUUUGUUUUGAUAUACAAAACAGUAAUAAAAAUUAGAAAUAAUUCACUCUAUUAUUUAAUCAUGAUGUUUGAUUAUUGUAAUUAGAAGACACAAUAAUUUUUGUUGUGUCCUAAAGUUACGUAAAAUUAUGUGUAAAAUAUUUAUGCAGUAACUUUGUUGAAGAAGAGGAGCAUAUUAAAUUACACACUAAGUUACAAAAUAUCCUCUUAUAAAUAUCUAUUUUUUUACCUCUUUCUUCUAAACUUUUAAAAAUCUAUAUUUUACCCUCUUAAUAUUUUAAAUUAUUGCAUUUAGCCCCCUCCAUCAGGGUUCAAGCACUAUUCCAUCAAUUUUUUAUAAUUUAUACUGAAAAUAUCUUUUAAAAUAAUCAAAAUUAUAAUAAAAAUUAUUCUUUUUUAAUAGAAAAAGUAAGAAUAAUUUGAUUAUUUUGUCCUCUCUAUUAAUCCUGUAACGCUCUGAAAUUAUUUCUAAAUUUUAAGAGGGCAAAAUAUAGAUUCUUGAUAGUUAGAGAGCGAAGGUGAAAAAGCGAGUAUUCAUAGAAAUUUUUUUAUAAUUUAGUCUAAGACUAUAUGGUGAAAUAUAAAGAUCUAAUUAUCAAAAUUAGAAGCUUAGGCACCUAUUUGAAAAAGUGAUAAAGAUCAGGGGGUUCUUUGUAUAUUUUUCCCAAUUUUUACCCAACUCGAUCCCUAAUGUCCCCAAAUCCCAAAUCCGUCCAUUUUAGAGAGAGAGAGAGAGAGAGAGAGAGAGAGUGCGAAUUCAAAACGACCCCUCCCCCCCUCUCUCCUCUUCGUCGUCUUCGUUCUCUCUCUCCUCUCUCUCUCUCUCUCUCUCUCUUCGUUCCCACACGGAGGUGGCGGCGCUUCGUAGGGUUUCGCUCCCCCCACGCCGAAGCGACACCGCGACCCUUCUCUCUCUACAUAUAGACGCAUCCGUACGCGAUCGGUCUCUCCCUCUUUGAUCGCUUCCUCGUUCAAGAAUCGAAGGUAUCGCGAUCGUUUCCGCAAACCCUACCUUUUCUUUACAAUUCACGUCACCAUUCGAGAAUCGGAUCAUCCGUUUCUUGUAAUUGUGCUAAGCAAUUGUCGAGUUUAUUAGAUUUUUAGGUAUCUGAAAUAGUACUUUGAGUUCUUGGAAUAGGAUUUUAAUUGCAUACUUGUGAAAUUCUUACUGUUCUAAUCCUGUAUGUUGGAUUCCAAUAAUGGACAUUUGCUUUGCUGCAGAGGGACCAGGGACAAAGUUGAUUUUUUUUCUUCUGUGCAGUGAGCUUCUAAAAGAUGAUAGGUUCAUUUCUUACUAGAGCUCUAAUGUAAGCAAAUAUUCCAUGUAUCGAGAUUUUGUGGAUAGAAAGGGUGUGGUUGAAGACAAUGAACUGAUAUUUUACUCUCCUUUUGUAUACAGCCUUGCUCUUGGAUAUGCUUAUCCAGCAUAUGAUUGCUAUAAGACAGUGGAACUGAACAAGCCAGAAAUUGAGAAGUUGCGCUUUUGGUGCCAAUAUUGGUUAGUUGCAUCACUUAUUUGUGGGAAAAAUGUUUUCGACUCUUUUGGUGCGAUAUAUAUUUCUAAAACAAAGAAUACCAUAAUGGCAUUUUGCAGGAUCUUAGUUGCACUUCUGACAGUUUGUGAGAGGGUUGCAGAUAAUUUUAUAUCAUGGUAAUGAAUUUUUCUUUAUGUAGCCAAAAUAUUUGUCCUUGGAAUUAUGAAUUAUUUUAUGCUAUUCCAUUUUUAUUUUGAUUUGAUCUAAUGGCUGCCCUUUCCAUCUUAAAGGUUGCCAAUGUAUAGUGAAGCAAAGUUGGCUUUCAUUGUGUACCUCUGGUAUCCUAAAACAAAGGUAAGAUAUUCAUUAUUGGGAAGUGGGAAUAUAAGUUAUUCUUUGUGUUUAGAAGCCUACUUAUGUUGGAUGAUUGCAGGGGACAACAUAUGUCUAUGACACGUUCUUCCGGCCAUAUGUCGCGAAGCAUGAAACGGAGAUAGAUCGUAAUUUGCUUGAAUUGAGAACAAGGGCUAGUGAUAUUACUGUGCUAUAUUUUCAGAGAGUUGCGAGUUAUGGCCAGACAAGGUUUUUUGAAAUUUUGCAGUAUGUUGCUUCACAAUCUCAGGCGCCAAGAACUCGAAUGGUUCAGGUAUUCUUUAGUCCAUGAUAAAUUGGAAUAUGUUGUAUCUUAGCCUUGUGAGUGUUUUUUCCCCUCAUUUUAAUUACAUUUAUUAUCUAUAUUUACCUAUAUUACAUCUAUGUGAAAGUGCGUGACCUUUUAGUUGCAUUAACGAAAUGAGUAUACCCUACUUUUCAUAGAACGAAUGUUCUUGCGAUGGUUUUUGUUAAGUCCUUCUAAUUGUGGCAUGGCUGGUUGCAUCCUACUUUUUUCACAAAGCAUUCUUAUCUUGUUUACUGAUUUACUUUAUGUUUAUUUGCUAAACUUCUAGCUGCAAUUAAUUGGUGGUGGCAUUGUAGUUUUCUUUUAAUUGUUAGAGGCUCACUACUAUGAAUACAGAGACUGAUUUUUUGUCUCUCACUGGUAUGCAACACUAGAAAAGGAUAUUCUUUGACAUUGAUGAGUGCUGGCUAUGUGCAUUGAUAUUCUUGGAAAUCCCCCUAUCUAUACGUGUAUAGAUAAAGAGAGGGAAAGGGAGAGAGAUUUCAUGUUAACUGACUCGAGUGAUUUCAUGUUGAUAAUCUCCUUUUUUUUCGGAAAGAUGAAAUGCAUUGUGUGAAUGAAUUCUGUGAGGCAGAAGUAUGUAGCUUAGAUGUAUAAUGUGAUCUAACUAGUGUGCUAUGGUUAAUGUUCCAUCAUCCUGAGUUUCUAUAAGUGGGCUAGAAAACUAUUCAAAGAUAAUUUCAGUAUGGAUACUGUGGUUGAUAAUAUUGACAUCAGUAAGAUAGAGUUGUCCAUGUGAAAUUUGGAUAAUAUUGAAGCUUUUGGAUAAUAUUGAAGCUUUUGAAUGAUGUCUAUUCCUAAAUUUUCAAGUGCUUCAGUUGUUCUUAACUAGCUCUGGCUGGUGAGUUUGCUAUGAUAGUUGAAGUAGUUGAGGUUUUAGGAUUUUUAUUUAUGUUUAUAUUUAUAUAUGUACUUGCAGAAUUAAUUAUAUGGUGGAAAUUUGGGUGGAGAUUAAAGGUUGUGUAAUUUAAAGCCCCUUAAAAUCAAGAGCAUUGGAAAUCAGGAUAUUGGUUGUUUUGGAUUCUUGGAAUCGUAAUUCUGUAGAAUGUCGUACGACUUCUUUGUAGUUGGUUCUUUUACCGCCUCUUCUUCUGUUUCCCUCCUCUUCUCUGCAGUCCUCUCUCUUCUGUUUAUGUUAUCUUUGGUGAUUAAUUAAGAAUCAAUUUUGUCUUUUUGAGCCAAGGCAAAUUUCAGACUGGUAAAUCGGCUAUGCAAUUUAACUGUUAAUAUUAACAGCACUGAAAUUGAUGUAUUUUGCAAUGUAUGGUGGAUAGUCAACUAUGCCAUUCACAGUAUUGCAAUAUUUGGUGGAUAAAUUAUCAUUGGUAUACUUUGGAGAAGAUCAUGAUAUUUUGUACUCUUUUGAUGAUGAGUUUAUGCAACGCAUUGAAUAAUAGAACUGCCACCAGAAGUAGACUCUUGAUAGUUCAAUAUGGCAGUUGAACAGAAAAAUUAUCUUUUGAUGUACUUUAAAGGCAUAAAUCUCUUCAAAGGUAAUAUUGAAUUUGAUUGAUAUGUAGAAUCACAUCAUUAGAUCUCUAAGAAAGGUCAAUAUAAGAGUUGAUCGACAUGAAUACUCGAAGUUCUUUGAUAUGUAGAAUCACAGUAUUAGAUUUCUAGAAAGGUCAGCGUAGAAGUUGAUCAAUAUGAAUACUCACGUCAGAUCUCUAGGAAAGAGUUAUCAAUUGGAUCUUCAGGCUUAGUUGCCUUAAUAUUGUGUCUCUCUGUUUGAUCUCUUCGUAGGAAAACAAAACAAAAAUGAAAGAGUAGAAAACAAGUCUGCGAAAUGGAAAGACUAAUUAUUAGGUUUCCACAUUAUUCUUCUCAGUCUUCUUGUUCUAGCGACAACCAAUUAAAUAGGAAUAUCAGCAAAUGGGGAGAAAAUACAUAUGAGAAGAGGCUGACCGUUAGUUAUAUAAUAAUCUCUUACUUCAAGAAGUCUAGGAAGUUAAUAGCAUCUGAAUGUUCAGCAUUUCAUUUUAGGACGAGCCAUAUACAAAAAGUACCAUGAAUAUCGGCUAAAACUAUUAUAUCGAAAAAUUGUAGGUAUAGGUGAUUGAUUUUGCUGAUAGCUAUCCAUUACCCUUUUGUGCCUGUUUAUCUUCAAUGUAACAGAAGAUUUCUAUUGCUUUAAAGUCUCAACAUAACGUAGCAUCCUUAUAUACUUUAGUUUCAAGUGCUUCUGCUUAAAAAGCUAUAAUUCUACUAGUCAGUUGUUCUGACAUAUUUGUUUCGACUCACAGAGGCGGCAACCGCCAGAAGUUCGGCAACAGCCUCCUGCCGAGCCACCCGCCCACCCACCCUCAUCCUCUCCGCAGCAACAGCAGCCAACAGCACCACCUCCUCCUCCUGGACCCACCAGGAACCUGAUGCAAGAACAGCCCUCAAUUGCUGCCGCUCCUGCCCAUCCGCAAGCCUCAUCAAAUCCCACCCGUACCCUCCCAUCCACUUCAGGGCCUGCCAGCCUCAGCUCUGCAUCUGAGGAACCAAUGCAGGUUGACAACACCGACAACCCCUCGGCAAAUGGAGAACUACAGAGUCCUGCCUCUGAAGAGACAGUCCUGGAGGAGGCUAUCCGUGUAACUCGAGCCCGGCUGAGGAAACGUGCAGCUGCUGCUGCACCCUCUACUCAACCCUCUUCUCAUUAGUACCCUCUCUCUCUCUCUCUCUCUCUCCCUCUCUCUCUCUCUCUCUCUUAUUUUAGCCAUUCUUUAGCUUUUGCUUAGUAAUACUAUUAGCUAGUUCUAGUUAGUAGUUGUCGCAGUAGUUGUAACAAUGUAAAUAAAUGACCUCAAGUGGAACUUUAUUGAUGAUGAUGAUGGUGGUGAUAACCUUUUAUUGAUGAUGAUGAUGAUGAUGAUGAUGAUGAUGGUGAAAGAAAAAAAGAAAAAGAAAACUCAAGGUGAGCCCUUGAAAAUGGAGGAGGGGGAGAGGGGAGCCGAGUCGAGCUGGUAGAGGCCAAGGGAGGGGCCGACGAAGCGGAAGAGGACCCAUCCGCCGAUGACAAUAAAGAUGGAGGCGUAGGCGAACUUGUUGAGCCAGAAGAGGAGGCCCUUCUCCCCCACAUAGAGCUCCACAGCCUUCUCCCCCAGCGUCAUCGCAUCCCACUCCUUUUUCGGCGGCGGUGACGGCGGCGCCUCUGCCGCUGCCUUUCUCUGCUUGGCCUGGUUUUUGGAACGUACCCGAUACUUGAUGUUGAGUGUGGUCCGCGGCGUUUUGGUUGUGGUGUCGUUGUUUGUGCCGUCGACGGUGAUUGGUGGUUGUUGUUGUUGUUGUUCUUCUCCUUUGUUAUCGUCGUUGGCGGUGGCCGGGCCAGUUGCUCGGAGUAUGACUAGGGGUCGGCGGCGGCGAGGAGCGAGGAAUAGGGAGGGGGAUUUGUGUGUGGUGUGGGUAGAGUUGGGAGGAGGGAAGAGGGGAGAGGGGAACGCCAUUUUCGCAUUCAUCGUUUUGGCUAGCUUCUUGAAUUCUUGCUUGCUAUUGCUACUAUUGCUAUUGCUAUUUGGUGGUGUGUGUUUGGUUCUCUCUCUCUGUCAGCUUUGGUUUACCUGUGCUCGUCGUGUAUAUGCUUGGUUGGGGACUUGAUGGUUCUCGUUAUCCGAUUCAUGUGUUUAUCUUUUAAGCUGGUUUUCUUUGUGAAAUGACUGUUUUGCUCUUGGAGGAGGAAAGGGCUUUAGCAGGAACUAGGAAUCGGUUCAUUGCACCCUUGCCUUUUCACUUUCUUAUAAAUAUAUGUCAAAAUAUCUGUAUUUCUGCAGUUAAUUUUUCUUAAUCUAUUAUAAAUUUUUAUAAUUAUAUAAAGAUCUUUUUACUUCUGCAUCUGCGGUUAAAAUAAAAACUAGGUAAGCAUUUUCUAUAUCUAUGCAUAUGUUUAAGAUCCGAUGUGGAAGCGUCCAUUUUUUUUUUUUUUUUUUCGAAAGUCUUGACCUCAAGGGAUGUUAGAUUUGUUACAAAUAUACAAUUUUACACGGAUAGAAAAUUUACUGUUCAUACGGACAGAAUUUUUUCUGUAUUUAUAUGGCGUCGCACAAGUACAAGAUACAACUACAGUGUAUAUAUAUAUAUAUAUACACACACACACACACACACACACACACACACACACACACACACACACACACACACACGACCAUAUAUACUCACCACAUCACCACAUUACAUAAUUGGAAGAAAAAAGAAGAAGCAACGUGUUUUCUUGUUGAAGAAAAAUUCACGCAGGAAGCGGAGGGCUAGAACUAAAAGUGCGAACCACAUAAGCAUAAAAAUUGAAGAAGUAAUUUUAGUUAGUAAAAUUUUUUUAAAAAAAUUGAUGAGAUAAGUAAAAAAUGAUGAUCCUUAGAUGUGCAUCUUAUUUAGAGUGUGUGCCACUACAAUUAAAGAAUUGGAAUUACUCUUCUUUCUUAUACAAAAAUAAAUAAAUAAACAAACAAACAAAGGAGGACUAGUUCAUUCUUUCAAAUUUUCAGAGGGGGAAACCUCGGUCGCAUCGCAUGUAAACAAAGCCUCGGGCCGGAGUUCGACCCACGGCCCACAUUAAAUUGAUACGCUCACCCACCUUUUAACAUCAAUCUACGCCCUCCUUUUACCCCUCAUUAUUAUUAUUAUUUUAUUAAUUCUUAAAAAGUUCGAGAGGGGGUUCACCAAAUCGGAGCGAAAGGGGAGAGACGCGAUGAUCUACCGGAAGUGGUCUCUGCUCUCAUCGACGAUCGUGAUUUGGGGCGGCGCCGCCACCGUCGGCCUCGCCGGGUUCUUCCUCUUCGGUGGCAAGGUCAGAUUUUUGUUUUUUCUUUUGUUUUUUUGUUUUUUUUUUUAAUGAUCUCGUUUACGGGUUUUGAUGCGGAUGCGAGGAUCUGCGGUUACUCUCAGCUUGAGACCUGUUGGGAAUCAGUAUCUGUUGAAUCAGUGUGUUUGAUUGUCGAAAAUCGAGUGUUUGUUUAGUUAUUUGCCCGGUUUGAUCUCUUUCUUACGAGUAUCUCCGUAGAUCCUCUUUUUUUUUUUAAUAUAUAUAUUAAUGUUCCUGAAUAUAUGAUGCUUAAUCUGAUAUAUUGGAUGAAUUUACUUAAUUUAUCUCAAAGUUUCUCAAAGUUUCUGUAUUUUCAUAUAUCUGAACUUCAAUUUGUUGGAAAUGUGACACGCUUCAAAUUAAACUUAUAGAGCCUAGCCCCUAUAACUUUUUUUGGAAGACAAAGAAAAUAAUAAGAGAAGAAGAAGAAUAAGAGAUGAUACGGUGAUGAUGUGGAAGUUGACUCAACUCUCAUAUCAUCUUCAUUUUUUUUAAGAAUGAGGUGGUAGUGGAAUUAGUUUUCAUAUUUCUUCAUAUUAUAUAAAACAAAUGAUGUGAUAAUCGAGUCAGCUGUCGUAUCCACCCUCCAUCAGAGAAAUUGAAGAGAUUCUGAUGACGUGACUUGAUUUAAAUAAAGAUUGAAGUUUGGCAGUUCGAUUGCCACGAACUAUAGUUAUGAAUUUUAAACUUUGCAAUAAGUCAAUUACCACCAUUGGUGUAAUUUACCCCUGAAAUAUCUUGUGUAGGUUUCUUUUAGAGCUACCGUUCGGUACGUUUUGAUCUUUUGGUUAGAAAUCCGCAUUUAUGAGAUGAUAUGGUGAUGAUGUGGGAGUUAAUUCAACUAGCAUAUCAUUUUCAAGAAUGAGGUGGUAGCUGAAUUAGCUGUCACAUUAUCUCCAUGCCAUCUCAAGUAGAUGAUGCCGCAGUUGACUGGGCUGUCCCGUCAGCCCUUCAUUAGAGAAAUUAGACAGAGCCCGACAACGUGACGAUUGAAAGAAAUAUUGAAGUUUGGUGGUUCGAUUGCGACAAAAUGGAGUUUCACAACCAAAACUUUGCGAUAAGUCAGUGACAAACGGUGUAAUUUACCCCUAAAUUAUCAUGCAUAGCUUCCCUUCACAGUUAGCAUUUGGUGGGUUUCAAUCUUUGGUUUGAAAUCCGUAUUUUUGGAUCACAAUUUCCUAUUCAUUUUUGGGUGUAGUAUAAAACAUUCACAGUAUAAUAGAGAACAGUAGACGGUAUCUGAAGCGGAAGUGCGUCAAUGGCAUAAAAUGUCUUCCAGAAAGGAGAGUUAGUUGAAGAUUAGGUUAGAAAAUCUGGUGAUGUGACAACAAAGAAUUGGUUUUCUUAACCUUGUUGCUCACAUCUAAACUAGAUGCUGCUUAUUAGACAAGAAAUUUUUGGGUCAAAAAAAAAUAUUAUUGAUAGUGUUUUUAAGAGGUGAGAAAUGGUGUUUGUACGUGAUAACUAUAAAAUUUCAUGUGAUAGCAUAACACAACUAAUGGUUGAAGCACCUCUGUCUUUAUGCAUCAAAAUUGUGUGAAGAAUGAAUAGAUGCAAGAAAGUGGAUAAGCAAUAGCAUCUGGGGGACUAUCAUUGCUUGCUGGCUACUGAUUAUUGAUGGAUGGAGCUGAGAUAGGGAGUAGAGGGAAGUGAUACGGGGCAGUGGAAGCAUGAAGAUAACAUUAAUCGAGUAUUUUAGAGGGAAAGAGAUCUUAUAGUAGUGUUUGGCAUAUCUUUGGGAAAAGAUUUGAAAAGCUAAGUUAACGGUGGUACUAUUUACUUUAAGCAUAAAUGACAAAGAUUCUGAUUACUUGUUUUCAAGAAUGUAUUGGCUUUUAUGAUGUAGAGGAGCAAGGAUUUAGGAUUAGGUAACUAGGGAAUUGUGUUGUGCUUUAGACGCUCGGUAGCAGACUUUUUUUUAUCACCAAGCGAGUCUAGAUCCAUUACUAUAAUUAGUUUAUGCGUUUGAAGAGGUAUAAUUAGAAAUAGCUAUGUUAUUGAUGCAAUUUUCCAUGUUGCAAGGUAGCCAACUUACUAACUGGAUAGCCAAAGCCGAUCAAUCCUUCUGUUGCAACUAGUGAUAUUUAUAUAAUCAACAUUAUUGAGCUGGAAAAUGAAUUGUUAACUUUUUUUUUUUUUCCAGUCAGCAGUAUAAGAAUCUGUUUAGUUCUCCUUGAAUUAGUGGAUUAGGAAACUCCAUUCCUAGUCCUAUUGUGAGAUAUGGUAAUGAAUUUUCUUUCAAGCCAUGUUAACUUUUUUCCUUAGAAUUCUUCAUAUUCCCUUGUUUAUCUUUAGAAACAUUAUCUCGUGAAACUGGGCUAGUCGAGCUUUUCUACUUUUGCUGCAGUACCUUUCUACUGAUCCUAUCCCCCAACCUUCCGAAGAUUAACUCAUGAGCCGUUGGUGUCAAAAGAGGAGAUAUCAAUCCUUCUCUUCCUUACCCCCUCCCCCUCGAGCUAAGCUUCCUUCACUGACCCCAUUGGAUGAGCUGAGGCCUUUGGCUCUGAACGUGCAAUGUAGAUGCAACAAUUAUAGUUGUGGUAGAGAGUAUAUUUGCACUAGAUUGUGUAUGGUUAAUAGAGAUUGGGAUGGCCCCAAGAUAUGAUGUUCCAAGAAUUGCUUUCUCAUUGGUGCUAUUUUGCCCUUUUAUCUUUUGGUCUCUAAAUUUCUUGUUUAAUCUCUUUUUGUUUACGUUAUAUAAUGUUAUUUUUCCUUUCUUUUUCUUUAGUCUCAAGAUUACAUAAUUCAAUGUUCAAAACAUGUUUCUUUGCUUUUUUCGCCCCUAUAUUUUUUAUAUAAUUACCAUACUUCUCUUUAUGGUUUCUUGAAACGAAGAAAACAAAUAUGCAAGCGAUGCCAAACAAGUUUAUGAAAGUAUGAGACAAAUGGGACAAAACGGUUAAGUCAAAGAAAGAAGUGGCGGAAAAGCACAGCAUAAGCAGUGAAUCCCUAGCUUUUUCGCAUUAGGAUGUUGUUGAUUGUUUUGUGACAUGUAAAUUUUACUAGUCAGAGACCUUAAAAGGAAUAAUGUUUCAUCUGCAGGAGAAGUUCCAAGAUUAUCUGAUCCGUGAGGGUGAGCGGCUCCGGCAGCAGGAUAGGGCCAUGAUGGCUAAAACUAGCAAAGCCUAAAUGAGUCCAUAAGAAGGCGAUUCGGCCAUGACUAUGCCCUUGUUUUAUUUGAACCACUUGGCAUGGUGGGAAUCAGUCUUGUACGUUCAUGUUAAUAAUCGUCGCUUCGGUGACUCUUAAAUCUGUUUGCUUUGUUACUUUGCUUGCAAACUAGUCGCUAUUGAAUGCCAAAUAUGGAUUUUUCAUAUGCUUAUGACAAAUCUGAGUAUGAUUCUACUUAAUUCAGCUCAUCUCCGCAUUCAUCCCAAUUUAGGUCUAAAAUUGUGCAGGUACAGUUAAUUUAGUUAACCAUAGGUUAAAGUCCUAAUGUUUUCAGAUAUGUUCCUGCUGUUAGAAUCUGUGAGAAAAAUUUAGUUAGCUAUAGGUUAAAUACUUUGCCCUAGUUAAUUUUUGACAUUUUUACACCUCUUAUAUUAUACUGUUAUAAUAUUUGGAGGGGUAUAUUUGUGAUGGCAAAAUUGAAAAUAUAAACAGUUUUUAAACGGUUCUCUAACGGUAACAAACCAGAGGGGCAUAUUUGAAAAUUUUAGGAUUUUUGUAAGAAUAAUUUAUGAAAGUUGAAUUUGAUAGGAAUAUAUUUGUAAUUCACUAUAUUUGUAGAAACUUAUAUGCAAUUAACCUCCUUUUUUUUUUUAACUAGACUUCUGAAAAGAUUUUGUCAACCAUUGGAUGUACAUCUCUGUACGGAUAGUAUAUUUCAAUCACAAUCAUAUUAAGACGUAGUAAUGUAGUGGCUAAAAGCAUUAUUUUUAUACUAUAAAAGGCUUAACAGUUCAAAAUCGAUUAUAUUCUUUUCUUUUUGUUGCUUUUAAAAAUAGACAUACUUUUUUGGUGGCAAUUGCAAUCUUUAUUUAAGAUUGCAACUAUUUUUCAAAUUUUUAGGCCUUCUAUAACAUAAAAAAUAGUAUCUUUAGUCAGCAUAAGUUUUAGUAAUUCGAGAACAUCUCUCGUGCUUUCGAAAGUACAGAGGUUUCCGUACUUGUAAGUUGUUUUCGAUGAUAGGACAUCCGAUUUGACGAUCGGCUCCGCAAUGCAUAAUCUAUACUAUUGGAACUAUUUAGAAACCAAAUUUUAUAAUUUUUCGACAUUAUUUACCAAGCGAUCACAGGGUCUCAAAAAUGACUAUUUUAACGACCGAUGUGGUACGUUUUUAAGUUCAAAGGUGUAGAAAUAUCUAAAUUACAUGAAACUUUAAUAGAAAAUUCUAAACAAUCUUCCGAUUUGAAAUUUGAAUCAUUUAUCACUAUUUUUUAUGAGAUUUUUAUUAUCAGCCGUUCAUUUUGAGGCUACUCGUUCACUAGGCAAAUAAAGUCAAAAAAUUAUGAAAUUUGGUUUCUAGAUAGUUCCAAUAGCGUAGAUCAUGUUUAACGGAACCGAUCACCGAAUCGGACGUCGCAUCAUUGAAAAUAAUUUACAAGCACGGACGCCUCCGUACUUUCAAAAGCAUAGGAGCCUAGCUCUUAGAAAUUCUACAUUUCGAAAAGUGCUCCUUGUGGAAUUUUUUGUUCAUUGGGUUCACCCAUUCACUCAAUGCAUCGAGGUUGGGUUGAGCUUAUUUUGACUAAAGCAGCAAUUUGGGUCAACCUAUUUUACUUGGAAAUUAAGUUCGAUCGAUCGAGCUUCCUUCACCACAAUCGAGUCAAAUCAGACUAGUCAACACCUUGUGGCCUUUUUUCCCAACUUCUAAUCAACCUAAAACGAACUGAUCAAUAUUAUUAAUUUAUUGUUCUCUAUUAAUCUAAUAUUAUUAUUACCAUAAUUUAUCUAGAAGGGUAAAGAAAAAAAGCUUAAACAAAACAAAUGGCUAAAGUAUAGAAAACCUCUUUGAAUAUAUUGGUAUUUUCAAUAAAGAUGAUCACUUAACAUCUCUUCCUUUUUCUGGUAAUACCUGUAGCAUAUUAAAUAUAAAAAUAUAUAAACACCGUUCUUUAAUAGUUUAAAUUUUUAGAGUACAACGGUUGUUUCAUGAAACCCUAGAUCUCAAACAAUCAUUAUAUUUUAAACGCUUAAGCUAUUAGAGGGUGGUCUUUAUAUAUUUUUAUAUUUAACACAGCACAUUCAAUAUUCUCCACUUUGCGAAUAACAUGUAGCUAAAUUUUUUUUUUUUAAAAAAAAGUUAUAACUCAGCAUGUCUGAAUACUAAUUUUCCUACCAUACAAGACAUAUAAUUAUCAUCAUCAUUAUUGGAUGAUAUUUUAGAAUUAUUUAGUAUUUUACGAUAAGAAACUUUUCUCAAUCAUAAAUUCUUUUUAUAAUUGAAAAAGAAGAAGAAGAAGACUCAACUUAGAGACUAAGAAAGGUAUACUUAUCAUCAAUGUACUAUUAUUUUUUUAAUUAGACUUUUUCGUUGCGUUGUUUUUUUUAUGACAUAGUGAUGAUCAUUUAGCAUGUUACUAGUAACUAUAAACAACGGUCAAUGCUAAGCUUGGGUCGAAAUUUCGCAUGCGACUCGUAGACGAUGUGUUUGUUUGCUUCCUCUAAUUUUCUCCAUCCAGAAUUUGAAUUUUCGUCCGAGCCAACUGCAGGUUUGAGCAUCUGCUGUCGUCGGGCUGCAUGGGAUAAUGCAGCUGACGCAGGUGCAGAAAUUUAUGCUAACUGCAGAGAAAAUUCCAUCCCCAAUUGCCGACUGGAAUAUUUUGGGAUGACAAUUUUCUCCGCCGAUUCUGACAUCCACAGAAAUUUGCUCUGGAUGGGGCUGGACUUGCAGGUAAUAGGGCAGGAACAGGGAUAUUACUUUUCGUCCUGCAAAAAUUUCGAUUCUCUAAAAUAAUAUAAUAUAAUAAUAAUAAUAAUAUGAGUGGGCUGGUAUGCUUAUGGAAGCACAUAGCCCUCCGUGCUUCCAAGUUGUUUUCAAUGUUCGGACUUUCGAAUCGACGAUCGGCUCCGUUAGAAUUGAUCUAUAGUAUUUGAAGUACCUAGAAAAUAAAUUUUGUGAUUUUUCGAUUUCAUUUGCCUAGUGAUCAAAGUGGCUCAAAAUCAAUAAUUUUAACGGCCGUUGUGAGCCGGUUGCAAGUUUAACGAUGUAGAAAUAUUCAAAUCAUAUGAAAUUUUGAUAGAAAAUUCUUUAUACUAUAUAAAAUAAGAUCAAUAACUUUGAUCUAAAAUUUUAAUGUCAUAUCAUCAUAUUUUGUAAGAUUUUUAUUUUCAGCCGUUGAUUUGAGCCACUUCGAUCACUAGGCAAAUGAUAUUGAAAAAUCGCAAAAUUUAUUUUCUAGAUACUUCAAAUACUCUAGAUCAAGUCUAACGGAGCCGAUCGUCGAUUCGAAAGUCCAAACAUCGAAAACAAAGUGGAAGCACGGAGCCCAUAAGCAUCCUAGCCGCACUCUAAUAAUAAUAUGAAUUGAAAUAGAAUAUAUCUAAAAGUACUGAAUCUAUUAGUGCUUUAAGAUUUCUAACCCUUAGACGAAGGUAUUGUAGGGUUAGAAUGAUAGUAAUCCAUUUGGGUUGAGUAGUGGUAGAUGGAAUAGUAUUUGAUUCAAAUGUCACUAAUAGUCAAAGAAUAAAUCUAAAGACUAAAAACCUAAAAGUACCAAUGGCUCAGUGCUUUUAGAUGUAUUCUAGCUUAACUCAUAAUAAUAUUAUGAGUUGAGCUGAAAUGCUAUUAGUAGCAAACGGGCUCUGUUGCCAUCCAUUUGUUUUCGAUAAUGGAGCUUACAAAUUGACGAUUGGCACCGUUAAACAUGAUCUAUACCACCAUGUGAAGUAUUUAGAAAUCAAAAUUUAAAUAUUUUCGACUUUAGUGGCCUAAUGAUCAAAAGAUUUUAAAUUUUGUAAUUUUAAUUGUCGAUAUGAGACGUUUUCUAGUUUAACGGCGUAAAGAUAUCCAAAUCAAUUGAAUUUUAGUUGGAAAGUUUUUUAAACUAUUUAGAACAAGAUCUUGAUCUUGAUUACAAGAUUCCUAUCAUCACUUUUUAAAAAAAAUUUAUUUUCAGCCGUUCAUUUUUGUGUCCACUUGAUGGAUAAGAGAAUAAUGUUAGAAAAGUAUGAAAUGUGGUUUCUAGAUGCUUCAAGUUGUAUAGAUCAUAUUCAAUAGUGUCGAUCGUUGAUUCGGAGACUCCAUCACCGAAAAUAAAUGGGUGGCAACGAAGCUCGUUUGUUACUUAUAGCUUUCUAGCUCACCACAUAAUAUUAUAUAGUUCUUAGUUAUUUAUAAUCUAAUUAAAUAUUUGAUUAAUGUAUAUUUUUAUUAAUUUAAUUUGUCAUACUUGAUACUUGAUAAUUUGACAACAAGGCCCUGUUUGGAUGCAUAGUUAAAAAACUCCAUAGAAUUUUUAUUCUAUAGUUUUGGCCUAAAUGAAAUACGGAAUCCUGUAACUACAAAAAUAUUCCACAGCUUCAUUUUUAAGAUGUUUGGAUACAGAUCAUACAAUUCCACAGUAUUUAUAACAAUUAAAUUUCUAAAAUUUUAAAAUUCAAAAUUCAAAACAAAUUCAAAUUUUCAAAUUCAAUUUUAAUAAAUAAAAUUCAAAAUUCAAAAUUAUAAAUUAAAAUUAAAAUUAAAAUUUAAAAAUUUAAAUUAGUUUAUGUCUUAAUUUGAAAUUGAAAUUUGGAAUUUUGAAAUUUAAAAUUUGAAAUUGAAACUUUAAAUUUUAAAAUUUAAAGUAUACCAUUUAAAUUUAAAAUUUGAAAAUUAAAAAAUCUAUAAUUAAAAUUUUAAAUUUUAAUUUAAUAAUUUAUAAUAUUUAAAAAAUUAAAAUUUAAAAUUUAAGUUUAAAUUUAAAUUUUGAAAUUGAAAAUUUAAAAUUAAAUUAAAAUUAUAAAUUUGAAAUUUGAAAUUUGAAAUUUGAACUUUUUGAAAUCUGAAAUUUGAAAUUUGAAAUUUGAACUUUUUGAAAUUUGAAAUUUGAAAUUUGAAAUUUAAAAGUUGAAAUUUGAAAUUUGAAAUUUGAAAUUUGAACUUUUUGAAAUUUAAAAUUUGAAAUUUGAAAAUUGAAAUCAAAAUUAAAAUGAAAUUUAAAAUUUUAAAAAUUUGAAAUUUAAAAUUUUAUGUUGAAAUUUAAAAUUUAGAAAUUAAUACAUCUUUGGGAGCCCAAAAUGGUGUAAUUUUUUUCCUUUGGUUAAAGUGGAUUGUAGGUUUACUCCAUUUUUUGAAGUAUAGUAUAACUAUACUUCAAAAAUUAUGUUAUUUUCUUUUCUUCCAAACACUUCAUAGGAUUAUUUUCCUACCGGCGUAGCAUAGUUUAACUAUGCUACGUUUUUAGAGGUAUCCAAACGGGGCCUAAAUAAAAUUGAUAUCCGAACCCGAAUCAAUGGGUUUCCGUCUUUUACACCCGUAUUCGAAAUUAUAUAUAUUUAGCAUUAGAUAAAUAAACUCCGUUUAGAUUUGAAUUCGGAUAAAAUUUAUAGUAUUUGUACUCGUUGACAUCCCCAUCCCUGCAACGUCCCGCACCGUUGCCAUCCCUAACGACAUUGGCUGGUCAACAGAUUGCAUUGCAAUACUUACACACGAAGGAUACAUACUUAGCAGACUAUAUCUUUAUAUCUAUUCAAGAUCAUUGAAGACUGUCAAGAAGCUUAAUUAAUGGAUUGCCAGGCUGUACAUCUUGGCAAGAAAAUAAGCCCAUAAUUUACUGACUUCCAAGCCCAUAAUUUACCUAAGUUGGCAAGUAGACUUGAACAAGGAUCCAUGCUUACUAGAACUCCUCAGUACCAGAAUUGUUCUGAACUACUUUUUUUUUUAGGGGCAAUUGCUUAUAUACCUCUGAAAAGUAUCUGACUUUUCGAUUUACCCCUCUUAGAAGACUAAUAUUGAAAAUACUCCUCCUACGUUCCAACCUAUUUCUAAUAUACCCCUAAAGUUAAAAUCUGUUAAUUAACUCUGUUAUCUCUGUAAAAUUACUAUUUUGCCCUUUCAAAUAUACCCUUCCACAAUCACUUUCUUUCUUAUUUGCCUUUAAAGUCAAGGGUAUAAAAAGUAUUUUGACUUUUGGUCUUUUCCAAUAUACCUCUCUACCGUCACUAACCUUUUUUAUUUGCCCUUAAGUUAAGGGCAAAAUUAGCAUUUUAAUUUUUUUAACUGUGGUAGAUAUUUAACUCACGUUUAACCCAGGUUAACUUAACAGGAAAUAACUGCGGAGGUAUUUUGCAAUAACGGUGAAACAUAUGAGGAGUAUUUUAGAAAAAAAAAAAUAGACGUAAAUCGGAUAUUUCCAAACGUAUGAGGAGUAUAUAGGCAAUUAUCCCUUUUUUUUUAUAGGAACAAAGAUGCAUGUUGACUGGAACUCAGUUCCAGAAUUGUUCUGAACUACUUUAAAUACCACCUUUAUAAUUUUAUAUUUUUUCACUUUAGUAUCAUAUAAUUUAAAAUGUAUUACUUUAGUACUUAUAUUUUUUUUUUUUUUCUCUUUCUAUUAUUCUCUCUGUUAAUUCUUUCGUUAAAAGAGUAGCUCUAAACGAUACAUCCCUUCCCUUGGCACUUUCCCCGUUUUACUCUGAUCACAGAAGGAGCUCUUUGCCUGUUAGCAAUUGAAUCAGAAUAAGUUUUUGGAGUGAUAAAAUUAAAACCGCAAGAUACUAAAGUAAAAAUUCAGUAAAUUACAUGAUAGUAAAGUGAAAUAUUCGAUAAAUCAGAGGUGGGGUAUCUGAAAUUUUUUUGUAUAUAAUUUAAGAAAAAAUUAACGGCUUGAAAUCAUAGAGUACUAAAAUGAGUAAGGAUGAAACCACAUGGGUGCUAUUUGAAGUUUACUCUUUCUAAUACAAAUGAUAGCAAAAUGAUAGUUAUUUAAUUAGUCUAUGGACAAUUUCUUCGGUGGAAAAAAAGGUUUAAUAUUCUACUUGACUUUAUUAACCUACGUAUUCAACUUAAAUAUGUCUUAUAAAAACGUGGGAAUUAAAAAAUUAGUUUAUUUGAUGUUGAACCUAAAAAAAUUCUGCUUGACUUUACAGUUUAAGCUGUUUUGUAUAAACUCCAUUAAUUUUGCGUCACCGUGUAUUACAUCAAUGGCUGACAUUUUAGUACUUAAAUUUUAAUUUACUAUAAUAAUUUUUAUUUAAAAUUUUUAAAUUAUUAUAAUCAAGUCUUAUAAUUUAAUUUAGUUAGCUAAAUAUUAAAAAAUUAUUAAUAUAGAAGUAAUAUAAUAUUUCAAUUAUUAUUGCAUUAUGAAUCAUAAUAUGUUUACAUUAUUUUUAUAUAAAUAAUUUGUCAAUAUUUAGUCAACUAAUUUAAAAAGUUUGAGCUAAAACUUAUAACAAAUUAAAGUUUGAGAACCAAAUUAAGCAUCAUGUUCCUUACAGUUUGAGAAACCAAAUAUGCAAUUUACGUACCCAUGGUUUAUGCAAAAAUAUAACCUUUUUUUUUUAAUAAAAGAACAUUUAUAUCUUUUGAAAGAAAAAAAGAAAUUUUAUCAUAAAUUGAAAAGCCAUAUUACUUUAGUCGUAAGGUGUACCAAAAAAAGUAGCAAAAAGUUUGAGAGUUGUUCGCAAAAACUUUAGAACUUUAGCUCUUUUAUAAAUAGGCAUUUUGAAAUUUUAAAUUUUGGCGAUUAAAUUUCGUAAAUUUUAUCAAAUAAUUUAAUAGUCUCUCUCUUCAAUCUAACUUAUAAUCAAGUGUAAAACUGUUUUAAUCAUGUGCGUAUAGUCUUAUAAGAGUUUAAAGAUAUUUAAACAUGUAUCUUUUUUAUUCCAAAUUUAAUAAUCAAGCAUGAGAAUUGAGGAAUAGGAUUAACCUAUCUUAAAUUUUUGUUUCUUUUUUUCUUAUAUAUAAUAAAAUAGAAGAAAUAAAUUUAUUUGUGUUUUGAAGCUUAAAUGCAAAACAUAGGGCAUUAAAAAACAAAAAAAGUUUCUAGCUAGAGAUCAAAUAUAUAUAGAAUGAAAGGCAAAUAUAAAGCAUUAAAAAAAUAAUUAAUAAAUACAAUUGCUAAAAAAUAUUACAUGAAAAAUAAACAUGUACAAUUUUGAUGCAUCCAUGGCAUAAUUAGUGAUAUUGUAAAAUACAUCAUUUUUUAUAUAUGUCAUCAAAUAGUUAUUCAUUAAUUGAUCAUAAAUUUAAAAAAAUUAAAUUUACAAUUACUAAAAAGUAAACAGAAUAAGUGAUGCACAUAUCUUAAGCAAUUAAAAAAAAUUAUGUAUGAAGUGUCUUGAUGCACACCAAAGUAAGGUUAGAUUUGGGAUUGGGGGCCUUAAUAACUUUAUAAUUAGAUGAUAAAGGGAGAGAUUAAGAGAAAAAUAAUGUGGAUAUAUAGGUUUGAAAGAAGAAAAGGAAUGAGAUUAUUAUUUUUAUAAAAUAAAUUAUUAACUCCGGUCUACUGUCACAUAUUAAUUUUACCUUAAUUCAAUAAUUUGUUAUGUAUUUUUUUUAAUACUAAAAUUUUUUUAAAAAAAAUUAAAUUUUGAAAAAAAAAUUACAAUUCUUAGACAGAAAUAAAAGUGACACGUGGUAAUAGAUUAGGGAUCCCAAAUGUGGCAUCAUUGGGGAGCUCUCCGCUAAAUUUUUUUUUUUUCCUUAAUUGACCUCUGGACACACAAUAGGUAAAAUUUAAAAAACUUAAUUGCUAAAAUUAAAAAUUUUGGCUUCUUUUUUAUUAUUGUCUUUCUUUUUAUUUUUUUAAAGACUAAUUUUACAUAAUUUAAUUUGUCUGAGUACAAGCAUUUUACAUAAGGCUAAGUAAUAAAUAAUAAUUUGUUAAAAAAUAAAAAAUAAUAAUUUUAAGUUCUUUUUUAAUGUUGUCAAGUAAAAGUCUUAAAUGGAAGGAUGAUGCUAACUAUUAAUCUCAAAAGUUCGAGAUAUUAAAAAAACACAAUGAUUUAUUUAAAGUGUACAAACAAAAUAUCUACUGAUCUGGAUUGUGCCUCGGCCCAACAAAAUAUAGCGCUAAAAUAUCUCUUUAGAAACGAGUUAUAAUUGGGGAGCUCUUUCUGUAAUGGAUAAAAUUUUAGUGGAAUACUUCCCAGUAACACCUCGCUUGUUGGGAAGCAUCUGAUCCACUGACAAGUCUUAAUUUUGCAUCUAUCCAUUGGCUAGCUCAUCGAAUAUUUUUUAUAUUGAAAUCUAAAAAUUUUAAAUUAAAAAAAAAAGAUAAUGAGGUAUUAAGGUUUAGUUUGUUAUUGAGAUGGAUCUAACGUUAGUAGAUAGAAUGGAGUUGAGAAAAAACAUAUAGGAAUAUGAUUCUACGUUCUCCGAUAGAACCGCAUAAAAUAUAUCGUAACCGACUAAUCGUAAUAUGCGGAACGCAAUAUUACGUACGAAAAUAAAUAAAGUAUAUUUUCAUCGUCCUUUCUCACCGCACAUAACGCAAUCUCCUUUAUCGCCCUUUCUCACUGUUCAUAACGCAAUCUCCCCGCAAUUUCAAAUGAAAUCUAAGAUUCCGUGUAGGAGACGUGGUUAGGAGGAAUUCUAUACUGUCACACUUGCACCACGUCAUUAAUAACAAGCCAAUCACAUUCUUUCUUUUCAAAUAAAAAUACAAUAAAAAUAUUUUUUUAAAAUCAUGAUGGGACAUAUAUUCCUAAAAAAAAAUUAAUUAGUUUAUUAUGUCACAUCAUUAAUAUAUUCUUUGCAUUCUAGGAUUUUUCGUGGUUCAGAGCUCUCUCUUUUUCAUGUACAUUUUUUUCCAAAAGAAAAAGGGAAAAGUUUAAUCGAGACAGAUUCGUACGAGAGAAUUUGAAGCCGAGAAGAGUGCCACGUGGCAGUGGGCGGCGCGCGCGGAUUAGUCCGUACACGGUCGGCGACGUACUUUGCGGUGGGCCCCGCGUUCUAGAAACGCAGGCUAAUUACGCCACGCACACCAAAUUUGAUCUAAAAAUGAUUAAUACGUUUUUUUUGGGUUACGGAGGAACGCGACAGCACUACUUUAAAAUUAAUUAUAUAAAAAAAAUUAUAUUUUAAUUUUUAAUUUAUUUACUGCCACAUCACAAAUGUAAUAUUCAAUACCAAAAUAAAUAAGUAAAUUAUACUUUUAUCAUACUUUUGUGAUAUGUAAUGCAAUUCUGUCUCAAAAAUAAAGUCUAACAGUGUGUGUGUGUAUGCACCAAUAAUUUAGUACUUUUAAAAAUAUACAAGCUCAAUUAUAUAUAUAUUUUUUGUCAUUGAAUUAAGGAAUGUGCGGUUAUGAUGAUGUAGAACUCUUAGGGUUGAGUGGGUGUUGGUUAAAUAGUAUGAUCUAAUGAAUAAAAAUGAUCAAAAGAGUAGAUUUAACGGUAAACAAUUUACAAGCACCAAAUACUUGGUGUUUGUAAAUAUAAAAAGCACCGAGCACUUGAUGCUUGUAAAUUUUUUACCGUUAGAUCUAUUUUUUGAUCAUUUCCACCCAUUAGAUCAUAUUAUUCAAUCGAACGAGUAAAUAAAACAAAAAUAAAAUAAAAUAAAAUAAAAAAUAUUGUAUGUUGUGUAACCCGUUCAACUCUUCUAAAGCAUUUUUUAACCCCUUUUUUUAAUUUUUCGGAAAAAAAAAGUUGUUAAUUACCCCUAUGAAUUUUGUGUAAUUGGUGAGAGGAAUGCAUGCAUUUAUUUUUUCACAAAUAUUUUUUUUUCGUAGGCUCUCAUAAUUUUAAAAAUUAUUUAAUAUGUUAGAACCAAAUUAUUUCUUCGGCGGCAAAAAAUAAAUGUAUUUUUAUUUUUUAUUUACAAAAUUUUUUAAACAAAUUAUCAUUUUUUAUUAAGUCAGAAUGCACUGUAUUUAAACGGAAAAAAAACUAAGUGCAUCCAAACAGUCAGAUUUUUUAAAAUUUUUGCGCAUAAUAUUUUUAUUAUGGGUGAUUAUUUAUGAUGAACUCAUAUUAUUUAGAAUAUCUUUAUAUUAUUUUUUAAGUUGGGAAAGUGAUCUAAAAUUGUAUUGAAGUGUAGAUGGUCUCGGACAAAAAUUUUAUGGGCACAGUUCUCAAACAACUUGUUUGGGGACGAUGACGGUGGGCGCCGUGUGGUGUGCGGGUGUCCAUCACGACCCUAAAAAAUAAAAAUAAACAAAAUUUGUCGGCUCCCAUUGUUUAGAGAGAGAAAGAAGCAGGUGAGAGAAAGGGACGGUCGCGAUGGGCGCCCGCACACUACGCAACGCCCAUUUCACGAUCGCAUACCACGCGGCGCUCAUCUGCUCCGUCUCCAAACAAUUUGUUUGGGGACGGGUGCCCACAAAAUUUUUGUGCGGUGGCCUCACACCUUUAAUCAUUUAUCCUUUUGAUUUAUCAUGUUUUAUUAAAUUACGUAUCUAAAAUUUUUGUGCUCGAGGUGAUCGCAUACGAAACUCGUGUAAAUAAGGAGGCCCGCCUUUCACGUCAAUCGUACAACACCAAACACUGCUCAUAUCCGUAGGAAUCCAACACGUGUACAAUAAUUUGUGGUAGGUGUAACGGUGAAAAUGGUACGGAUAAUUUCGGAUUCAAUAUGAUGCUGAUCGAUGAUAAAAUUUAGUAUUCCACUCAUAUUUGUAUUUGAAUUCAUAUUCAAAAAAAAUAAGUUAAAUAUAAAUUAAAUAUAAUUUUUUAAAAAAUUCGAAUGCAAUCGACCAAUUCAUCCUCAGGAGAUAAAAGAAAUAUUAGUAUAUAUUAUAGAGAGAUAAAAUGAUUCUUUAUCUUUUUUUCUUCGUUUACUUUAUUAUGAGUUUUAUAUUAAAGUUGCAUUUAUAUUCGUCAAAUAUUAAAUUUUAUUAAAUAAAUAUAGGUAUACAAAGUUUGAACUUGAAUGUGAACCUUUAAAUGCAUUGUGCGUCUAAUCCGUACUAAUUUCAUUUCAUAUCGAUUUAUGCAUAUAAGUGUGUAUUAUUAUCUGAAUACAAAUUCGAGCCAUAUCUGAAUACGAAUAUGUUUUUAGUAGGCAUAGUAAUGAAAAUUUGACAUCCAACACAUAUCAGCAUCCGAAUUCGCAUCUAUAAAGUAUGGAUGUGAAUAUGGUUUUGUCAAAAAAUUUGACCGUAUUCAAUUGUUUUCAUCCCCAGGUGGGUGAUCCUUUACUUAUCAAUCUUUUAGUUUAUUAUAAACUUUAAUUUAAAAUUUAUUGAUUGUUGUAAUUAAGUUCUAUGGUAUAAUAUAAUUGGUUGAAUGAUAAUAUAUUAUUGAUGUGGCAAUGAUGCGACAUAUUAGUUAUUAUAUCAUUAUCACAUCAGCGGUACAUCACUAUCUAUCUAGCCAACUAAAUUAUAUUGUAUAAUUUAAUUACAGUGAUUUAUAAAAUUUAAAUUAGAAAUUGUAAUAAAUUAAAGUUUGAAAAUCAAAAUAUCACAUAUCGCUUAGUUUGCAAACGAAUAGUGUAAAUUUAGCGUUUACAUAAUUGGCACUCUUUUAUCUUAUAAUUUUUAACUAAAUUUGUAUGGUUAAUUAAUUUAAAUAUUUUAUUAAAUUUUGUAGCUCAAUUAUCUAUUGAACAUAAUUAAUCUCCUUUUACCCACUAUAAAGUAGUUUAUUAAGGUCUUGUUUGGCAGCAUUAAUUAUUAUUAUUUUUUGUAUAAAUAUAAUUCAUGCAUGAAAUAAUAAAGAAGAAGACAAUUGAUUGUUUGCCCUCAUUUCAUUCAAAAUAUUUGUUAACAAUAAAAAGUAAAAUUUUGAAGGCAAUUUUUCCUCUUAAAACUUUUUAAAUAAUAAGUUAUCAUUCAUCAUUUGAUCAAAAUGUAUUAGCAUGCUAACCAAUAACAACAACAAGUGAGAUUUUUUUUUUUUUUUUUCAGUUGAUAAUCAAAUUAUAUAUACUAACAAAAUAAAAAAUUACCUUAUAUUUUAUUAUAGCUAGAGUGAACAUCUUACACCCUAUUAUUCUUCUACUAGGAUAUGAAAAACUAUUUUUCGAAAUUUUGUACUUAAAAAAAUAAUAUGACAAGUAAAAAAAAUCUUAGCCUUUUUAAAGGCUAAGGUAAAAGUUUUACAAAUACUAUAGAUGUUCAUGUAGCAUUGCUCUUUAUAAUUAUAAAUGAAAUUGCUAAAGUUUCUAAUUUAUUAAAUAAAAAUUAUUGGGUCAAUUUCAUUUGUGUCCCUCUAAACUUCAAAAAUAUCAUAGAUGCCCCUAUAAAUUUGAUUACAUCACAAAUAGCCCUACAAAUACUUACUAUUUUUCAAAUAUGUCCUUAUCCUUACUAUUCAUCUUUUUAUAGAAUGAUAAAAUAUUUAGAUUAUUAUAAAUAUGGUCGAAAUGUCCAUUUUGUCCUUAACUUCUAAAAUUUUUUACAAAAAUAUUUAGCAUGAUAAUAUUUAUUUUAAAAUAUUAAAAUAAAGAGUAAUAUAUAUUAUUUUACCACUGUGUGGUUUGUAAAAUAAGAUACUUUACAUCAUUUAUUUUAAAAUUCUAGAUGCUAAAGCACAGAAAUUUGUGCUAGUUCAAAUAACUUAAUUUACAUCAUGCAUAUAUAUUUAAAUUAUAUUUUGAAUGAGCUGUUUAACCUUAUUUUAAUGAGUCAAUUGAUAUUUUAAAUAAUUUUUUGCUAAAUUUUUUUCAAAUUUUUUUAUUUUUUUAGCUUAACUUGUCAGGAUUAUAUAUAUAUAUAUAUAUAUAUAUAUNGUUAUUAAAAAAUUGAUAAUAAAUUAGUGUAAAGGUUAGUUUUGAAAGUUUCUCUCUUUUAAAAGAUUAUUUAUGAUAUUUUAAUUUUUAUAGGGGCAUUCAUGAUAUUAGAUUUAUUUGGAAGGGUAGUAAUGAAAUUUUUCCAAAAUUAUUUGGUUUUAAACAGAAGUCUAUACAAUUGGUGUAAAUCUUGCAGUAGUCUUGAGCUUUAAAUCUUGAGGUACUCUUGAGGUUUCUAUGUCUCACAUUUGCUUAUUUGUUUUAUCAAUUUAAUUUUAUAUUAAAAAUUUAAGAAAAAAUUUUAAAUGUUAAAAUGUAUAAAACUUAUUUCAACUAUCAUUUAUUUUGAUCUAACUAUCUUAUUUUAAAAAUUUUAAUUUUACUACAUAAACCCUUUAAUUAAUUUUUAUUUGGGCUUGUUGGUUAUUGUUUAACUUCAAAAUUUGAAUUCGCCGUUUAUCUUUAUGGAUUUAGUUAGUACAUUAUAUAUAAUUCAUAUAAUAAUAAAUUUAUUAAAGUAAAUUAUUAAUUUACAUUUUGUAUUCAAAAUAUUAUCAAAUUAAAUAAAUUAAAAAAAUAGAUAUUAAAAAUAAAAUUUUAAAAUAUUGGCUACUCAAAUUAAAAUAGUCUGUAGAGAGAGAGAGAGAGAGAGUUGAGCUGAAAUGUCAUUAAUAGCAAACGGGUUCGUUGCUACUCAUUUGUUUUCGAUGAUAGAGCCUCCAAAUCAAUGAUCGGCAUCGUUAAACAUGAUUUAUACCACCUGAAUCAUCUAGAAAUUAAAUUUUAUAUUUUUUCGAUAUUAUUUUCUUAUCCAUCAGGUUGACAAAAAAUAAACGGCUGAAAAUAAAUAUAUUUUAAAAAGUAAUAAUAAAAAUAUUUUAAUUGAGAUCAAGAGUAUAGAUCUUUGUUUUAAACAGCUUAAAGAAUUUUUUAACCAAAAUUCAAUUGAUUUGAAUAUCUUUACGCCGUUAAAUGAGAAAAUGUCUUAUAUUGACGAGUAAACUUACAAUUUUUGAUAUUAUUUGAUAAUUAGGUCAAUAAUGUCGAAAAAAUUUAAACUUUAGUUUUUAUAUGUUUCAAAUAGUAUAGAUUAUAUUCAACGGUGCCGAUCGUCAAUUUGGAAGCUCCAUCAUAAAAAAAUAAAUAGAUGACAAUAAAAUCCGUUUGCUACUGAUAACAUUUCAGCUCAACUUUCUGAUUCAAAAUCGUGGUAUAACAUGUAUCUCCCUUUGUUCCGGCCAUGGAAUAGAUGAAAUAAAUCAAAAAAUGGAUUCUUGUUCACAAUAAAAAAUAAACCCUAUCCCAUAGGUAUAGGGUUUGAUUCAAUAGAGAGCCUUUUCUUCUGUUAUAUAGUUGGUUCUCAUCCUUCAGAGAUUACGAGUGUAAUAGGAGCAUCUGUUGACAAAAGGAUCAUCCUAAGAUGAUCAUCUCAUGACUAUUGAGAACGAAUCAAAUCAGGUAGUUUUUUUUCUGUCCGAAAAAUUUAUCGAAAUAAUGAGUCGCCCCUUCCAUUGAUAUGAACAAAAUUGAGAUCAACAAAUGGUCGGGAGUAUUUUUAUAUAUAUAAAAUUUAGAAUUAUAAGUUAGUAAAAGAUGUGAACUUAAAAUAGAGUUAACGGCGGAGUUUUCAAAUUAGCCUGUGGUUGGAGAUAAAUUAAUUAGUGCAGUUAAGUAUGAAUGUGUGUCGGACACGUGGCAGCUUAAGAAGAGGAAUUUUGGACCCGCACGCCGAGGACCGGUGGGGCCCACCCCAGUGCGGGUAUACGUGGCCGUCCGAACGGUUUCGGUUGCUUGGGCAAGUUAAAAAAAAAAAAAAAAUCAAAUCCACUCGUGGUUCCACACUUUCUUACUUCAGUACUCUAUAAUUUAAAAUAUAUCAAAUUAGUAUUCUAUAAUUUUAUUUUUAUAUUUUCGUCAAUUUUUUUAUUAAUAUUUUGUUAAAUUAUAUACAAAAUUCUUCAGAUAUUCUAUUUAGGUUUACCGAAUAUUUACUUUAAUACCUUUUUUUAUUUUGAGAGAGAAAGGUAUCACGCUAUCUUCUUCAUUCAUUAAGAAAAUGAAAUUAGUUAUAUAAAGUAAGACAGCUAGGGCCUCAAGGAAGGGGGCUCGAUAAAAAUAAAAAUAAAAAUAAAAAUAAAGAUGAAAUUAAAAAUAAAAAUAAGAAAUAGCUUUCACCCUACUCUACAAGACUCGGCCCACUCUUUUGCAAACACUCUAAUAAUUCAGACGUCGCCCUGCUCUACAGGACUCGGCCCACUCUUUUGCCAACACUCCAAUAAGAUUAGCUGUUCGGGAAACGCCGCUGGGUAGAUUUCUGAAGAUGAUGUUAUUUUUAUCGCGCCAGACCAACCACCAAGUGGCCACAACCAAGGUCAGAGCCUUCGAAGCGUCGCACUGCGGGUGUCUCUCUAGUAGCCCCUCCCAGACGAUGUUGGUAUCUUCAAAACACGGGUAUCCGAGAUACUUUAAUAUCUUUUAGUUUUAACUUUGUCACUGAUGUAACGAAAAAAAUUAGUGGAAUCGAAUAAAAGAUAAAAAUAAAUCACAGAGCACUAAAUUGAUAUAUUUUAAACUAUAGGGUAAUAAAAUGAGAAAGUGUGAAACCACAAAAGUGGUAUUUGAAGUUUUUCCGAAAAAAAAGAUUGAGUGGGAAUUAUUGUACCAUUAUUAAGUGAAGUUAUCCGAUCAUUGCGAUGGGCUAAUACUAUAAGAGAAAAAAAAUUAAUAAAUUAAAAUCUUAAAAUUUUAAUUUAUUAUAAAAUAUUAAUAAAUAUAAAUUGUAGGAGAAAAAAAUAUAAAAAAAUUUUAUUUUAUUUGUUUUUUUAUAAAAAUGAUUUGUUUAGGCUAUAAUAAACUAUAUGAAGACAUUAAUUAAAAGAUGGGUAGGUGAGAAAAUAAAGUAUCGAACGGAGAUAAGGAUGGAAAGAUAAAUUAUCAAAAAGUGAGGAGAGGAGAAAAGAUAAGGAUGAAAAAAGAACUGUUAAAUGAUAAAUUUUAUAAAAAAUAAUAUAUAGAUAUGUGUAAAUAAUUCGUUUCUAAGUGUUAAUUUUUUUAAUUAUUUUUAAAAAUAAAGUUUUAAAAUUUUAGUAUUUAAAAAUAUUUAAUAAAAUUAUUAAAUGGAAAUAAAAUUAAUACUCAAUGGGCCCCGGAGCAAGACGUAAAUGAGCAGUCGUCAACGACGGCGUGGCAUCACCCGUUCACCACCACCAACCGCCUUAUCCGAGUCCGAUCGGACGGCGCACGAUGUUCGGACGCGGAUCGCCAACCCGCAAUGAUUAGCUCACGCCGUAAAAAAUAAUUAUUGUAGUAAUAUGUAUAUUUAUUUAUUAUAGCUAAAAAUGAAAAGGAGGUAAAAUUGUAGGUAAAAUGCUUUUUGGGUUCCUCCCACUUGUGGAUAAUGCUGUUAAUAUUAAUAAUAAAUAACUCUUUUUUUUUUGAUAUCGCUAAAAAAGAGGAAGAAAAAUUGGACCUGUACACUUUAUUCUGCAGUAUUAAUUAUUCUUCCAAAAAUUUAAAUUUAUUUAAAAAUAUCUUGCACCGAAAAAAAUUUAAGAAGAAACAUUCUGAUAUAGAAUUUGUAUUUUAUUGGCUCACCACCUAUUUUAGACGAUUAUUUGUUUAAAAGGAAUUAAUUUUCGAUUUCCAUUUCACUCUGGAAUGGAAAUGAGCAAAUUCAUUUAUGGCCAAAUCCAGUUUUGAAUUUCGGAUUUGCCCAUUUCAAUGUAAACUGCUCAAAAUUUUUUCUUACAUUUCACCUCCGCCUCCUCUCCUUUUACCACUCUCUUUUUUCUUAAUCAAAACUCUCUUUAAAAAAUAUUGGAUUCUUAUUCCGAUUUUCAUUCUAAUAAUGAAUCAGAUAUUUUUGAUGAUUCGUCAUUCUAUUUAUUAUUUCAAAGCAUUUAAAUUUUAUUUAUCAUUUCUAUUCUAAUCAUGAAUCAAACAUGCUCAUACGUAGGCAUAAAAUGAACCAAACAUGUUCUAUACGUACGUCUAAAACUAGUAUUACUCAAACUUGAGCAAUGUUAUUUGUAUUUACACCCCACCAAUUUAAAGGUCGAUAAUUUUUUACUAAUUUUAUUAAUUAUUUUUUUUUUUACUUCAAUACUAAUAGUUUUAUAAAUCUUCGACAAUUUUAAAAUUAUUUUAAACACAAAAAUAAUGCAUUUAGCCAUCGUAUUAUCAAUAUAAUUUUGAAAAAUGCUAUCUACAUCCUUAUUUAUAGGUAUAAAUCUUACAAUUCUUGUAUCUCAGGCUUCAUAAAAAUUCAAAUUGGUUUUAAUAAUAAUAAUAAUAAUAAUAAUAAUAAUAAUAAGAUAAGUAGGGAGUGAGAGUCCCAAUUUUUUACUCCUACUUAAUUCGAGAUUAAGAUGUAGUAAUACACCUGAAAGUGCACAAAAAGCAUUUACGUAAAGAUAUGUUCACAUUAGACUAAAAAAAAAUCUCUCAGUAACAUACAUGAGUCCUUCAAAAUUUGUUAUUUGCAUAGUGGUUUCUUAAAUCACAAUAAUAAUUUGUGCUCGCUAGUUCUUUCAUAAAGUUUUUGUAAUUUAACUGGAUUACAUAUUUUUUUAGCACUAAUUACCACUAUAAUUUUAUAGUAGAAAAAUAGAAUAAAAGGUGCUUUUGUAAACUAAGGCUUAAUAAGUUA